GACGAACGCUGGCGGCGUGCUUAACACAUGCAAGUCGAACGGAGUGGCGAACGGGUGAGUAAAACGUAGGUGCUCUGCCUUGCACUUCGGGAUAAGCUUGGGAAACUGGGUCUAAUACCGGCUAGUGCAAGAUGAGGUGGCGGCCUAUUGGCUUGUUGGUGGGGUAAUGGCCUACCAAGGGGUCGAAGGGUAGCCGGCCUGGGAGGGGGUACGGCCACAUUGGGCCUGAGAUACGGCCCAGACGGCUACGUGAGGCAGCAGUGGAGAAUAUUGCACAAUGGGCGGGAGCCUGAUGCAGCGACGCCGGGUGCGGGAUGAAGGCUUUCGGGUUGUAAACUCCUUUCUACAGGGACGCGGUACCUGUAUAAGAAGCACCGGCUAACUACGUGCCAGCAGCCGCGGUAAUUC
This 408-nucleotide ribosomal RNA is filed under the name uncultured bacterium. Its description in RNAcentral is "partial 16S ribosomal RNA". It matches the Rfam family "Bacterial small subunit ribosomal RNA", at positions 28 to 526 of the family's 1533-position model. The record is from RNAcentral.